CCCUGAGGUCUGAGGCGUCCUUCCGCUCGUGCCCGUCAGCAGCUCCAGGCGCGUGUGUCGGUAGUGUCUGUAGUGUCGGUGAAGAUGUUCGGGCAGCAGGUCUUAGUUCUCAACCAGAACGUGAAGAGAGAGUCUGGACGUAAAGUUCAGACCGGAAACAUCAGCGCAGCGAAGACCAUUGCAGAUGUGAUCCGGACCUGCCUCGGCCCUCGGGCCAUGAUGAAGGUGUGACAUCAUCACCUCACAGCACCAGAACACUUAGUAGAUCCAGUGGUAGAUUACAUUACUGAGUAUUAACCAGUCUGAAAUGAGAGAAUGUUUGUUUCCUCACUAGAGAUUCAUUCAUUCAUCACUUUGAUCACUUCUGAUUCAUCGUAGGGAAAUAUUUAUAUUCACG
Non-coding RNA from Paralichthys olivaceus (Japanese flounder), 397 nucleotides. The record is from RefSeq and is a predicted model, not a curated record. Lineage: Eukaryota; Metazoa; Chordata; Actinopteri; Pleuronectiformes; Paralichthyidae.